AAUGUAGUAAUACAUUCAGUGGCGAACGGGUGAGUAACGCGUGGAUAAUCUACCUACGAGAUGGGGAUAACUAUUAGAAAUAGUAGCUAAUACCGAAUAAAGUCAAUUAAGAUGUUAGUUGAUGAAAGGAAGCCUUUAAAGCUUCGCUUGUAGAUGAGUCUGCGUCUUAUUAGCUAGUUGGUGGGAUAAGAGCCUACCAAGGCUAUGAUAAGUAACCGGCCUGAGAGGGUGAUCGGUCACACUGGAACUGAGAUACGGUCCAGACUCCUACGGGAGGCAGCAGCUAAGAAUCUUCCGCAAUGGGCGAAAGCCUGACGGAGCGACACUGCGUGAACGAAGAAGGUCGAAAGAUUGUAAAGUUCUUUUAUAAGUGAGGAAUAAGCUUUGUAGGAAAUGACAAAGCGAUGACGUUAAUUUAUGAAUAAGCCCCGGCUAAUUACGUGCCAGCAGCCGCGGUAAUACGUAAGGGGCGAGCGUUGUUCGGGAUCAUUGGGCGUAAAGGGUGAGUAGGCGGAUAUGCAAGUCUAUGUGUAAAAUACCACAGCUCAACUGUGGAACUAUGCUGGAAACUGCAUGACUAGAGUCUGAUAGGGGAAGUUAGAAUUCCUGGUGUAAGGGUGGAAUCUGUUGAUAUCAGGAAGAAUACCAGAGGCGAAGGCGAACUUCUAGGUCAAGACUGACGCUGAGUCACGAAAGCGUAGGGAGCAAACAGGAUUAGAUACCCUGGUAGUCUACGCUGUAAACGAUGCACACUUGGUGUUAAUCGAAAGGUUAGUACCGAAGCUAACGUGUUAAGUGUGCCGCCUGGGGAGUAUGUUCGCAAGAAUGAAACUCAAAGGAAUUGACGGGGGCCCGCACAAGCGGUGGAGCAUGUGGUUUAAUUCGAUGAUACGCGAGGAACCUUACCAGGGCUUGACAUAUACAGGAUAUAGUUAGAGAUAACUAUUCCCCGUUUGGGGUCUGUAUACAGGUGCUGCAUGGUUGUCGUCAGCUCGUGCCGUGAGGUGUUGGGUUAAGUCCCGCAACGAGCGCAACCCUUGUUGUCUGUUACCAGCAUGUAAAGAUGGGGACUCAGACGAGACUGCCGGUGAUAAGCCGGAGGAAGGUGAGGAUGACGUCAAAUCAUCAUGGCCCUUAUGUCCUGGGCUACACACGUGCUACAAUGGCCUGUACAAAGCGAUGCGAAACAGUGAUGUGAAGCAAAACGCAGAAAGCAGGUCUCAGUCCAGAUUGAAGUCUGAAACUCGGCUUCAUGAAGUUGGAAUCGCUAGUAAUCGUAUAUCAGAAUGAUACGGUGA
This 1298-nucleotide ribosomal RNA is filed under the name Borrelia miyamotoi. RNAcentral describes it as "bacterial SSU rRNA". It matches the Rfam family "Bacterial small subunit ribosomal RNA", at positions 73 to 1365 of the family's 1533-position model. The record is from RNAcentral. Lineage: Bacteria; Pseudomonadati; Spirochaetota; Spirochaetia; Spirochaetales; Borreliaceae.